CUCUGCCUACGGGGGGCAGCAGUGAGGAAUAUUGGUCAAUGGGCGCAGGCCUGAACCAGCCAAGUAGCGUGAAGGAUGACUGCCCUAUGGGUUGUAAACUUCUUUUAUAUGGGAAUAAAAUGUUCCACGUGUGGGAUUUUGUAUGUACCAUAUGAAUAAGGAUCGGCUAACUCCGUGCCAGCAGCCGCGGUAAUACGGAGGAUCCGAGCGUUAUCCGGAUUUAUUGGGUUUAAAGGGAGCGUAGGUGGAUUGUUAAGUCAGUUGUGAAAGUUUGCGGCUCAACCGUAAAAUUGCAGUUGAAACUG
Molecule: ribosomal RNA, 305 nt
Filed under: uncultured bacterium
Lineage: Bacteria
Description: bacterial SSU rRNA
Rfam family: Bacterial small subunit ribosomal RNA
Source: RNAcentral